This is a long non-coding RNA of Dioscorea cayenensis subsp. rotundata (Guinea yam), 2258 nucleotides long. RefSeq lists it as uncharacterized. The transcript is spliced from 4 exons. NCBI's taxonomy places the organism in Eukaryota, Viridiplantae, Streptophyta, Magnoliopsida, Dioscoreales, Dioscoreaceae. The record is from RefSeq and is a predicted model, not a curated record.
CAAGGUCAGGAAAGAAUAAAGUCAUCCGAGGAAAAAGAAAUGAGUUACUCGCUUACUUUCAUCCGCCCUUUAAUUACAAGGAACCAUCCUGUCGUGUGGCCAGCUCAUGUUGCUUUGGCCCUAGGUUCUUGGAUAGAUGAGAACAAGGAAGUUUGGGUGUUCUAGUUCAUUGGUUCUUCUGUUAAUCUCCUGAAGGCUUGGUAUCUCCGAAGCUAUGGCUAAUCAAGUAGAUGGUAUUCCAGAUAUUGUUUUGUUAAAUUGUUUCAUUGGAGGCCUCACAAAAGAACUCCAGGCGGAAUUAAUUCCUUGGCAUCCUGUUGAUAUGGAUCAAGCUGUCUCUUUAGCAAAAAUUUUUGAGAAAAAACACCAGCUCAGCAAGAAAGGCUAAUUUUCAAAGAAUGUUUAUCAACCGUACAUUUGAGUUAAACCGUUAUUGCCUCCAAUUCCUGUCACCACAGUGGGCUCUUCGAGCAUGAGUACUUCUCAAACUAUGACAUCGAGAUCUGGUACAACAUCUUUUUCGUCACAGCAACCCAUCUGCCAAAUCAAAUUUAAUGAGAUGCAAAUCCGGAAGGCCAAAGGAUUGUGUUUCAAUUGCGUCAAAAAAUUUACUCCUCAGCAUAUUUGUCCUAAUAAAUGCCUUCUUCUUUUGCAAUGGGAUGAUAACAGUGAUGAGAUAGCUGAAGGUGAUUUCAUAAUUAAUACUCAAUUAAUUACUGCUAAUCUGUCUUAGGGACUAAUGAAGUCUCUUAAUGCCAUGCACACUACCACUACGGUGGGUACUAUACGUUUAGCAGGAACUAUUCAAGGGCAUCCCAUUACAAUCCUAAUUGAUGGAGGAAGUGAUGAUACUUUUCUGCAACCAUGGGUAGUUGAUUUUCUUAAACUACCAGUCUUACCAUCCCCACCAACUAAGGUUUUGGUGGGCAAUGGCCACACCUUACAGAUUGAAGCAUUUAUUCUUAAUCUCAAUCUCAUUUUUCAAGGGUAUUCCUUCCAAUUGUCGGUUUAUGUUCAAGCUAUAGCUGGGGCAGAUUUAAUUGUGGGAGUUUCUUAGCAUUAGAAAUUGGGUCCUCACAUGAUUGAUUAUGAGCAACAAUAACUUCAAUUUUAUUAUGGUGGCAAGUUCAUUACUUCUAAAGGAAUGCAACAACUUUCUCCAACUAAUAAAUACAAGGUUAUUUUUUCUAUUUCUCCUGGCUUACCUCUGGCGAGGCUAUGCAAUCACCACAUUCCUUUGCAACCAAAUAGCUCACCAGUCAAGAGACGGAUGCCUCCGGCUAAGCAGUGGGUGUCGUGCUAAGUCAAUGCAAUUAUUCGAUCGCAUACUUCUCCAAAAAAUGUCUCUUCGGAUGCAACAACAAUCAACAUACGUUCGUGAAUUAUUUGCUCUUAUGGAGGCUGUUCAGAAAUUCUGGCAUUAUUUACUCAGACAUCGUUUCAUCAUGUGCACUGAUCAACAAGCUUUACGCCAUCUGUGUUAAAAAACAAUUCAAACCCCGAGCAACAUAGUUGGUUACCUGAGCUUCUGGGUUUUGAUUUUAGCAUUGAGUAUAAACCUGGUAAAGACAACCAGGCUGCGGAUACAUCCAGAUGUUUGCACUUACUUUGGUUCAACCCAAUAAAUCUUUUCUACAGGUACCUCAGUUAUUACAAGCUUCAGAUGAUACAUAUGGAUCUAUUCUUACUGCCCUUGCCAACAACAAACCGGGCCAUGAUCAUUUUACCCUCCGACAGGGUUUGUUAUGGUGGAAAGGACGCUUAGUGAUCCCAAAUGAUGCUUGUCUUAAGCUUCAUCCCUUGAAGACUUAUCAUAAUUCUCACUUGGGAGGCCAUGUAGGAUCUUUAUGGAUGUAUAUACGCUUGGCUGGCCAGUUCAAUUGGCGAGGUAUACACCAGGAUGUACAAGCUCAUAUCCAACAAUGCCUGAUACUGCCUACAAGCAAAACAUUUCACAACUGCACCUGUUGGUAUGUUGCAACCUCUUUUCAAUUCCCACACAUAUUUGGGAGGAUAUCAGUAUGGACUUUGUUUGUGGUCUUCUACUCUCCAAGGGUUAUUCGGUGAUAUUCGUUGUCAUUGAUCGUUUGUCUAAGUAUGGAUAUUUUGUACCAUUGAAAUAUGAUUUUUCCAGCACUUCAGUUGCCAAAGUUUUCAUCAAGGUUAUGUUUAAAUUGCAUGGGCUUUCAAAGUCCUUGUGACCAUGACCGAGCAUUCACCCAGUUAGUUUUGGCAACAUUUUUUUUUUCUAAAAAUGG